Gasterosteus aculeatus aculeatus (three-spined stickleback) is the source of this 186-nucleotide non-coding RNA. The record is from RefSeq and is a predicted model, not a curated record. Lineage: Eukaryota; Metazoa; Chordata; Actinopteri; Perciformes; Gasterosteidae.
UAGAAAGUCACCAAGCUUCACUUGAACGUCUUAAAGUGUCACAUCGUAUCUGGUGGUUGACGUCAUCAAAUUACCUCUACAAUCCGCUUGUUUGUGUAAAGCAGCAAUUCCCAAAGUGUGGGCCGCGAAGGUACUGCAGGUUGUUGUGAAGGUGUGGACUCUGCUAUGAAUCAGGCUGAGGACCCA